RNAcentral lists this ribosomal RNA (225 nucleotides) under uncultured Acinetobacter sp. RNAcentral's name for it is "partial 16S ribosomal RNA". It matches the Rfam family "Bacterial small subunit ribosomal RNA", at positions 568 to 792 of the family's 1533-position model. The record is from RNAcentral. Lineage: Bacteria; Pseudomonadati; Pseudomonadota; Gammaproteobacteria; Moraxellales; Moraxellaceae.
CGCGUAUGUGGUUAAUUAAGUCAAAUGUGAAAUCCCCGAGCUUAACUUGGGAAUUGCAUUCGAUACUGGUUAGCUAGAGUAUGGGAGAGGAUGGUAGAAUUCCAGGUGUAGCGGUGAAAUGCGUAGAGAUGUGGAGGAAUACCAAUGGCGAAGGCAGCCAUCUGGCCUAAUACUGACACUGAGGUGCGAAAGCGUGGGGAGCAAACAGGAUUAGAUACCCGCGUA